Hyla sarda is the source of this 509-nucleotide long non-coding RNA. RefSeq lists it as uncharacterized. The transcript is spliced from 3 exons. Lineage: Eukaryota; Metazoa; Chordata; Amphibia; Anura; Hylidae. The record is from RefSeq and is a predicted model, not a curated record.
AGCACUGGGCGACCAAUGAACAGGAAGACAGAUGGUUGCCAUGGAAACUGAGCUGGAAUGGAGUGUUUGCUGCCUAAUGAUGAAAGGUUAGGGUGCUGCUACACAGACGUGUCUUAAAUGAACCCGAACAAGCAUUGUCCCCAGACAAGACCCACAGUAAACAAUGUCUUAAGGAAUUGCUGGAUCAUUUACUCUUUCUUCACUGCACAUGUAUGAAGCUGGGCCAGGCUCGGAUCCAUGCAAGACCAAGGAGAGCUCAUGACAGCACCCCUGGAGAGGACCUCCCACCGCAGGACAGGAAACCUGGGAACAUAAUAAGGGACACGCCUCUCCACACCUCAGUUUCAAAGUAAAGUACUCCAAAGGAGCCAAUGAUCAUAGAAAAAUUUUUUAAUUCUCUAAAUUCUUUAAGCAACAUAAAGAAUAUUUUUUUUUAUUCAAAAAAAAUAUGUUUUGAGGACCAUGUAGCUGCCCUACAGAUCUGGUCCAAAGAGGCUUCAGCCUUCUCU